GAUGAAGAACGUAGCGAAAUGCGAUAAGUAAUGUGAAUUGCAGAAUUCAGUGAAUCAUCGAAUCUUUGAACGCACCUUGCGCCCUUUGGCCAUUCCGAAGGGCAUGCCUGUUUGAGUAUCAUGAACACCUCAACUCUUCAUGGUUUUCCGUGAUGAGCUUGGACUUUGGGGGCCUUGCUGGCCUAUGGUCAGCUCCUCUAAAAUAAAUCAGCUUGCCAGUGUUUGGUGGGUAUCACAGGUGUGAUAACUAUCUACGCUUGUGGUUUUCCACCAGGUAACCUUCAGCAGUGGAGGUUCGCUGGAGCUCACAGAUGUGUCUCUCCUCAGUGAGGACAGCUCUUUGAAUGUUUGAUCUCAAAUCAGGUAGGACUACCCGCUGAACUUAAGCAUAUCAAUAAGCGGAGGA
This 406-nucleotide unclassified non-coding RNA is filed under the name soil metagenome. RNAcentral describes it as "partial contains 5.8S ribosomal RNA, internal transcribed spacer 2, and large subunit ribosomal RNA". The stretch from base 1 to 121 matches the Rfam family "5.8S ribosomal RNA", at positions 35 to 154 of the family's 154-position model. The record is from RNAcentral.